Molecule: ribosomal RNA, 254 nt
Filed under: uncultured prokaryote
Description: partial 16S ribosomal RNA
Rfam family: Bacterial small subunit ribosomal RNA
Source: RNAcentral
ACGGGGGGAGCAAGCGUUGUUCGGAUUUACUGGGCGUAAAGGGCGGGUAGGCGGCCACCGCAAGUCGACUGUGAAAUCUCCGGGCUUAACUCGGAACGGUCAGUUGAUACUGCUUUGCUAGAGUGCAGAAAGGGCAAUCGGAAUUCUUGGUGUAGCGGUGAAAUGCGUAGAUAUCAAGAGGAACACCUGAGGCGAAGGCGGGUUGCUAGGCUGACACUGACGCUGAGGCGCGAAAGCUAGGGUAGCAAACGGGA